GGUUAAGCGACUAAGCGUACACGGUGGAUGCCCUGGCAGUCAGAGGCGAUGAAGGACGUGCUAAUCUGCGAUAAGCGUCGGUAAGGUGAUAUGAACCGUUAUAACCGGCGAUUUCCGAAUGGGGAAACCCAGUGUGAUUCGUCACACUAUCAUUAACUGAAUCCAUAGGUUAAUGAGGCGAACCGG
RNAcentral lists this ribosomal RNA (186 nucleotides) under Escherichia coli. Its description in RNAcentral is "partial 23S ribosomal RNA". It matches the Rfam family "Bacterial large subunit ribosomal RNA", at positions 1 to 187 of the family's 2925-position model. RNAcentral also lists the same sequence under 1 other name. The record is from RNAcentral. Lineage: Bacteria; Pseudomonadati; Pseudomonadota; Gammaproteobacteria; Enterobacterales; Enterobacteriaceae.